RNAcentral lists this ribosomal RNA (497 nucleotides) under uncultured bacterium. Its description in RNAcentral is "partial 16S ribosomal RNA". It matches the Rfam family "Bacterial small subunit ribosomal RNA", at positions 28 to 507 of the family's 1533-position model. The record is from RNAcentral.
GAUGAACGCUGGCGGCGUGCCUAAUACAUGCAAGUCGAGCGAACAGAUGAGGAGCUUGCUCCUCUGACGUUAGCGGCGGACGGGUGAGUAACACGUGGAUAACCUACCUAUAAGACUGGGAUAACUUCGGGAAACCGGAGCUAAUACCGGAUAAUAUAUUGAACCGCAUGGUUCAAUAGUGAAAGACGGUUUUGCUGUCACUUAUAGAUGGAUCCGCGCCGCAUUAGCUAGUUGGUAAGGUAACGGCUUACCAAGGCAACGAUGCGUAGCCGACCUGAGAGGGUGAUCGGCCACACUGGAACUGAGACACGGUCCAGACUCCUACGGGAGGCAGCAGUAGGGAAUCUUCCGCAAAGGGCGAAAGCCUGACGGAGCAACGCCGCGUGAGUGAUGAAGGUCUUCGGAUCGUAAAACUCUGUUAUUAGGGAAGAACAAAUGUGUAAGUAACUAUUCACGUCUUGACGGUACCUAAUCAGAAAGCCACGGCUAACUACGUG